GUCACCCAAGUAUGGAGAGUAUGUUUGACUUCCAAUCAAGAGGCCCAUCCGUUUGGGUGGGGGUGACA
This 68-nucleotide transfer RNA is filed under the name Doru luteipes. Its description in RNAcentral is "tRNA-Gly". The record is from RNAcentral. Lineage: Eukaryota; Metazoa; Arthropoda; Insecta; Dermaptera; Forficulidae.